Molecule: ribosomal RNA, 530 nt
Filed under: uncultured prokaryote
Description: bacterial SSU rRNA
Rfam family: Bacterial small subunit ribosomal RNA
Source: RNAcentral
UGGGGAAUAUUAGGCAAUGGGCGCAAGCCUGACCCAGCGACGCCGCGUGAGGGAUGAAGGUCUUCGGAUUGUAAACCUCUUUCAGUGGGGAAGAAGCGAAAGUGACGGUACCCAAAGAAGAAGCACCGGCUAACUAUGUGCCAGCAGCCGCGGUAAUACAUAGGGUGCAAGCGUUGUCCGGAAUUAUUGGGCGUAAAGAGCUCGUAGGUCGUUUGUUACGUCGGAUGUGAAAACCUGAGGCUCAACCUCAGGCCUGCAUUCGAUACGGGCAAACUAGAGUUUGGUAGGGGAGACUGGAAUUCCUGGUGUAGCGGUGGAAUGCGCAGAUAUCAGGAGGAACACCAAUGGCGAAGGCAGGUCUCUGGGCCAAUACUGACACUGAGGAGCGAAAGUCUGGGGAGCGAACAGGAUUAGAUACCCUGGUAGUCCAGACCGUAAACGGUGGGCACUAGUUGUGGGAACCUUCCACGGUUUCUGCGACGCAGCUAACGCAUUAAGUGCCCCGCCUGGGGAGUACGAUCGCAAGAUUA